Molecule: ribosomal RNA, 301 nt
Filed under: uncultured bacterium
Lineage: Bacteria
Description: partial 16S ribosomal RNA
Rfam family: Bacterial small subunit ribosomal RNA
Source: RNAcentral
CAGUCGCCACGGUAAUACGUAGGGUGCGAGCGUUAAUUGGAAUUACUGGGCGUAAAGCGGGCGCAGACGGUUACUUAAGCAGGAUGUGAAAUCCCCGGGCUUAACCUGGGAACUGCAUUUGUGACUGGCGGGCUAGAGUAUGGCAGAGGGGGGUAGAAUUCCACGUGUAGCAGUGAAAUGCGUAGAGAUGUGGAGGAAUACCGAUGGCGAAGGCAGCCCCCUGGGCCAAUACUGACGCUCAUGCACGAAAGCGUGGGGAGCGAACAGGAUUAGAUACCCCAGUAGUCCCUGUCUCUUAUAC